This 2609-nucleotide long non-coding RNA is filed under the name Marmota monax (woodchuck). Lineage: Eukaryota; Metazoa; Chordata; Mammalia; Rodentia; Sciuridae. The record is from RNAcentral.
CAUGCCUGGCUGCUUUUCGCUUAUUCAAGUGAGUAAAACUUUACCUUUUUGGCACAAGUACUCUGGUAUAGUUUAUGGCAGUAUUUAUUAAAGCAAUAUAAUAUGAUCCAGUAAUUUCCUCGGUGUAUAAACUCAGGAAUGAUCACUGUGUCCACCAAAAAACAUGUGCUAGGAUGUUUAUAAAAGUUCUAUUCAUAGCUAAAAAAAAACUAACAGGCAACCCAAAUUCUCAUCAAAAGAAAAAUGGACAUAUAGGGAUAUAUUCAAACAAUGGAAUACCAAGAAUGAACUGUCUAUGCCUCUUUGCAACCAGGUGGAUGAACCUCACAAACAUCAUGAUGAGUGAGAGUAACCAGAAACGAAAACAGCGCUUAUCAUAUGUGUCCAUUAAUACAAGGUCCAAAACAGGUAAGAGGAACCAGUGAUGCCCGGGGUCAUGAAACCGAGAGGGGAAGGAAGUGUAAGAGGGUGGUGGGGGCAAGUGGUGUUCUGCCUCUUGAUCUAGUGCUGAAGUCCUGGUUCUCUUUUCAUCAUGAUUUCUGAACUUUUCUGUAUGUAUAUUAUACUUCCAUUAGAAGCGUAUGUUUUAAAUUAAAACUUUCCACCAAAUUCCAAAAGGAAAAGGUGACCUUUUCCUUUUUAUGGACCUUUAGGAAGGAAGUUGAGAAAGCUGAGAAAAUUCUCAGUUCACUGCACAGCUCUCACUCCCAUCCUCUCCUUCUGGAUCUAUAAAACUGUCUUGCCAGGGUAGAUUGGAGCCUGCGUAUUUAACAUUUGCAUUUCCUUACACACUUUGAAUAUUGCACCGGGAAUUGCUCACUUUGAAGUCGAGGAGCCCUAGCUUCAUAUGGGACUCCUAGUAGAUGCCUCUGUUUUCCAAAGGGAAUAUCCUCUUUUCCUGUGCCCUGAUUGUCCGAACAUAUGGGUCAGAGUUUAUGGCCAGUAACUGUUUUGGGUGAGAGGGCACUUUCAAAUUCACCACAGUCUGAUGUUUAGCAAAAGCCUGGAAGAUUGCCCCAAGGCUGUGGCACAUGUUCACAGGAGUUGGCUGGGAAUGCUGGUCCCUAGACACAGACUGGGCCCCCUGGCCUGUAGGGUUGCUUUUACCUCAUUGCAGUUCCUAGGUCAGACCACCAGACUGAUGUUGCUGAAGACAUGCACUUUGUGACACACUCUGCUUUACAGAACCCUUUAGAGGAGAAAUGCAACCUACUUGAAAAACAGGAAACUGGUCCUUUUCAGCAUGCAAUUUAUUUUUAUCUUAAGAACAUGUAAACCAGGUAAGCUUCUCCUUUCAGUGCUAGCAGUUUGUUUCUUUCUUUUUUUUUUUUAAUUUUAGGUGGACACAAUAUCUUUAUUUUACAUUUAUGUGGUGCUGAGGAUCGAACCCAGUGACCUAGGCGAGCACGCUACCACUGAGCUACAACCCCAGACUGCUUAAAGCCAAAUGUGUUCAGUAUGUACCCAGGGCUUUACCGUAUGCAUGUUUGUAUUUACAAAUCCCGGGCUUCAUUUUGUACCUCUAGACUUAUUUCUUUCCUUCUUUCUUCCUACUAUUCAUUUAUGUUAACUUGGUGCAUAUUCCAUACCUAUUUUUAGAUUGACUUUCAGUGAUGUGCUAGAACGCUUGCUUGCACCUGCUGAAUAUCAUGGAAUGUUGUGAGGCCCUUCUUGAACAGUUGAUAGCUUGAAAUUAGCCACCAUGGGAGUGUUUCCACCAUCCAUAUAGACAAUCACCGCAAAAUACAUCUUUACUUUUUUUCUCCCAGGGAGCUAAUAUACUAGCACACCACUGUUUAUAUCCUUAUGGGAAAGGUAAAGUCAAAAUAAAUGUGUUUUUAAAAUUAUUAUUAUGGGGCUGGGGUUGUGGCUCAGUGGUAGAGCGCUCGCCUCCCACUUGCGAGACCCACAUAAAAAUAAAUGAAUAAAAUAAAGGUGUUGUGUCCAACUACAACUUUAUAUAUAAUUAUUAUGAAUAAUCUACUUAUUUAAAUAUUGUCUAUUAUUUAAGAUCUUUCUCUUAUUCUUUUAAAAGUUUUAAUGAAACAUUUUUAAUGGUUAAAAGAGUGCUUUAAUUUUGACUUCAGGUAGUGUCAGAGACAUAGGGGGCUCUUCAAAUACUGCCAAAAGUUACUGUAGAUGCAGAGUCUGGGUGAUGAGGAAGUUAUUAAUGGCCAAAUACAUGGGAGGAAAUGAUACUCAGAAGAGAGGAAUGGAGUUCUGCUUUUGGCAAGUGGAGAAAGGAGCUGCAGCUGAAAAGCGACAGAAUGGUUAACGGAUCUGGGAUACUUUCGAAAAUGGCAAGAAAGCAGAAAACUGACAAGAAUGUUUUAAAGUAAAAUGAACGGUACUCGAUGGGAUCAUCUCAUUGGGCAGCAAGGUGCAAGCGCUUCUGCAGCUGUCGGAGCGCCCCCAGCAGGUGGGGAGCAUCUUACCACUCGAAAUUUAUUUUUAGUUGAUACAUAAAGACAUAAAAUUGGGGCUGGGGAUGUGGCUCAAGAGGUAGCGCGCUCACCUGGCAUGCGUGUGGCCCGGGUUCGAUCCUCAGCACCACAUACCAACAAAGAUGUUGUGUCUGCUGAAAACUAAAAAAUAAAUAUUAAAAAAAU